This 807-nucleotide ribosomal RNA is filed under the name Pedobacter panaciterrae. RNAcentral describes it as "bacterial SSU rRNA". It matches the Rfam family "Bacterial small subunit ribosomal RNA", at positions 197 to 1006 of the family's 1533-position model. Lineage: Bacteria; Pseudomonadati; Bacteroidota; Sphingobacteriia; Sphingobacteriales; Sphingobacteriaceae. The record is from RNAcentral.
AUGUUCAAAUAGUUUAUAGGAUUGAGAUGGGCAUGCGUGUCAUUAGCUAGUUGGCGGGGUAACGGCCCACCAAGGCGACGAUGACUAGGGGAUCUGAGAGGAUGACCCCCCACACUGGUACUGAGACACGGACCAGACUCCUACGGGAGGCAGCAGUAAGGAAUAUUGGUCAAUGGAGGCAACUCUGAACCACCCAUGCCGCGUGCAGGAAGACAGCCCUCUGGGUCGUAAACUGCUUUUAUUCGGGAAUAAACCUUAUUACGUGUAAUAAGCUGAAUGUACCGAAGGAAUAAGGAUCGGCUAACUCCGUGCCAGCAGCCGCGGUAAUACGGAGGAUCCAAGCGUUAUCCGGAUUUAUUGGGUUUAAAGGGUGCGUAGGCGGCUUAUUAAGUCAGGGGUGAAAGACGGUGGCUCAACCAUCGCAGUGCCUUUGAUACUGAUGAGCUUGAAUGAACUAGAGGUAGGCGGAAUGUGACAAGUAGCGGUGAAAUGCAUAGAUAUGUCACAGAACACCGAUUGCGAAGGCAGCUUACUAUGGUUUUAUUGACGCUGAGGCACGAAAGCGUGGGGAUCAAACAGGAUUAGAUACCCUGGUAGUCCACGCCCUAAACGAUGAAUACUCGCUGUUAGCGAUAUACAGUUAGCGGCUAAGCGAAAGCGUUAAGUAUUCCACCUGGGGAGUACGCCCGCAAGGGUGAAACUCAAAGGAAUUGACGGGGGCCCGCACAAGCGGAGGAGCAUGUGGUUUAAUUCGAUGAUACGCGAGGAACCUUACCCGGGCUUGAAAGUUAGUGAAUUAUCUAAAAA